Ipomoea nil (Japanese morning glory) is the source of this 68-nucleotide long non-coding RNA. RefSeq lists it as uncharacterized. The record is from RefSeq and is a predicted model, not a curated record. NCBI's taxonomy places the organism in Eukaryota, Viridiplantae, Streptophyta, Magnoliopsida, Solanales, Convolvulaceae. The transcript is spliced from 3 exons.
UAACCUUUCAAAUGUUUUUUGGUGUGGUGGUUCAGCACUUCGUCCCUUAAGCAUGAGGUUGGGGGUUC